Long non-coding RNA from Camelus dromedarius (Arabian camel), 1739 nucleotides. RefSeq lists it as uncharacterized. Lineage: Eukaryota; Metazoa; Chordata; Mammalia; Artiodactyla; Camelidae. The transcript is spliced from 3 exons. The record is from RefSeq and is a predicted model, not a curated record.
UUGGCCCCUAAGGAUACUGACGCUGGAGGGGCUGGGACUUUCCUUGGCCUCCACCAGGCCUGAAAUCGCUUUGGAAGCGAUCCCAUUUCCGGUCUUAAGCGCGUCUAGAUUCCAGGGGAUUGGGUGGAGCGUGCCCCGGUUCCAGAUCCCAGCGAGGGCUUCUCUCCCAUCAGCCCUAGAGAAACCGGAGCGGCUGGGGACCUCCUUAAAUCUGUUAUGACUGGGUUUUCCCUGAAGCCCACAGAGGAAACAGUGAAGAGUGCCUGUUUCCACAGGGAGGCAGCAUCAUUCUGCAACAGUCAGUGUCAGCUCUGGCGUUAGAUCAAAGGGGUUCAGAUCCUGGCUCUGCCUGCUGCCCACUAGCUGCGUGACUUGGGAAGACCAAAGAAGGAUUGGCAUUGCAUCUCUCUCCUGGAGCCUUUGGGAGUGACGGAGGAUCUUCCCUGAAUAUUUGGUAUUGGUCCUCCGGCACCACACGGGGGAUGUUGGUCAAGAAGGACUCGUAUCAGAGCAGGGCUGUGAACUCCUAGACAAACCAAAGGACAGCAGGUUUUUAAGGAGGCUGAGUGUGGACAUGGCUGGUCCUGUGCAGCAGAUAUACCUCCCAUGUAUCUCCCCUCCUUCUCCCGCCUCUCCUCUCUCUCCCUCUCCCUGUCUCCCCCACCCCCACCUCACCCAGCCACUGCCCUUUUUAAUUUUGUUUUUGUGGUUCUGACUUCGGGAGAGACAAACCAGUCUCUCCAAGGAGACACCUUGAGACCUCGUGCCCCCAGUGAGUGAGGGUCUUUUCCUCUGUAAGCCCCGCACACCACUGAGCCUUUGUGAGGACAGCCUCUCUGGUCUUGAACCCACCCAGACUCCCUGUGAGUCCACACCCUCCUGAGGGUGAGUGGUCACAGCUCACAUGAGUGUGUGUGAUGACGCCGUCACCAGCCAGUCCUCCGCGGAGGGUCAGGCCACCCCCGUGAGAGGUGGAGGGUGGGUACCAGUUGUUCUGGGGUCCGCCAAGUCUGAGACGGCGAGAGUUCCGCCUGAACAUCUGACUGGUCGUCAGGCUCUCCCACCGCCAGCCCCCCUGCCCCUGGCUCUUAGCCCUCCCUGUCCGCCCUCAGCUUCUCUCUCACUCUGGAUGCCAUUUCCCAUGUAAUUCCCAUUUCCAGUUUCUCCCAGUGAGCAUCUGACACUCACAGCACAUCCCUUGGGGGCUCUUUCCGUGGGAGCCCUCGCACAGUCUAGUUGACCUACGGGCUGGCUUCGCUUCAGUCCAGCGAAUUCUCUUCACCCGGCUGUGGCCUGAACACGUGUACUUCACGUGGCACAAAUAAAGGGACCUGGGAUUCCACUUCUUUGGGGGCAAUGACAAGAACAACUACCUUUAGAAGGCCCUGAGGGUGUGAUGUCCCCAUUUUUAAAUGCCUUGUGUUCUGAUUUUUUUAAUAUUAAAUAGAACCAACAAAGACUAUUUGAUGCUGUGGAAUAUCUAAAUGAUAUUCUCAUGAGCAUCAGAAUUUUAAAAAAAAAGAGUAUCUGAAAUGUCCCUCUGGCUCAUGGCCUGUUCUUAAACAAUGUCUUCUCACCAGAGUAAGCAACUACUAGGUUUUAGAGGGGAACACAGUGGACGUCUCUCCAAAACACCUAGGGGACAGGAGUCUUGGGUCUUCGAGUGACCUGGGACUACGUAAUUAUUCCCUUGCUUUUUGCUGUUGUUGUUGCUCAGAUUAAAGGUGGAAGAAAUCUGA